Molecule: ribosomal RNA, 506 nt
Filed under: uncultured bacterium
Lineage: Bacteria
Description: partial 16S ribosomal RNA
Rfam family: Bacterial small subunit ribosomal RNA
Source: RNAcentral
AGUGAACGCUGGCGGUAGGCCUAACACAUGCAAGUCGAACGGCAGCACAGGAGAGCUUGCUCUCUGGGUGGCGAGUGGCGGACGGGUGAGGAAUACAUCGGAAUCUACUCUGUCGUGGGGGAUAACGUAGGGAAACUUACGCUAAUACCGCAUACGACCUACGGGUGAAAGCAGGGGACCUUCGGGCCUUGCGCGAUUGAAUGAGCCGAUGUCGGAUUAGCUAGUUGGCGGGGUAAAGGCCCACCAAGGCGACGAUCCGUAGCUGGUCUGAGAGGAUGAUCAGCCACACUGGAACUGAGACACGGUCCAGGCUCCUACGGGAGGCAGCAGUGGGGAAUAUUGGACAAUGGGCGCAAGCCUGAUCCAGCCAUACCGCGUGGGUGAAGAAGGCCUUCGGGUUGUAAAGCCCUUUUGUUGGGAAGGAAAUCCAGCUGGCUAAUACCCGGUUGGGAUGACGGUACCCAAAGAAUAAGCACCGGCUAACUUCGUGCCAGCAGCCGCAGUAA